GCGAGAAUCUUUCGCAAUGGGCGAAAGCCUGACGAAGCGACGCCGUGUGAAUGAAGAAGGCCUUCGGGUUGUAAAGUUCUUUCGCUAGGGAACAAGAGAAGGUAGUGAAUAACUGCCUAAUUUGAGCGUACCUGGUAAAGAAGCACCGGCUAACUCCGUGCCAGCAGCUGCGGUAAUACGGAGGGUGCAAGCAUUAAUCGGAAUUAUUGGGCGUAAAGGGCGCGUAGGCGGAUUUGUAAGUCAGAUGUGA
Molecule: ribosomal RNA, 250 nt
Filed under: uncultured bacterium
Lineage: Bacteria
Description: partial 16S ribosomal RNA
Rfam family: Bacterial small subunit ribosomal RNA
Source: RNAcentral